Molecule: ribosomal RNA, 2738 nt
Filed under: Microgenomates group bacterium GW2011_GWB1_40_9
Lineage: Bacteria
Description: bacterial LSU rRNA
Rfam family: Archaeal large subunit ribosomal RNA
Source: RNAcentral
ACACUAUUAGGUGGAUAGCUUGGUUUGGAUUGCGAUGAAGGACGUGGCAAGCUGCGAUAAGCUCAGGGUAGGCGCAUGCAGCCUUUGAACCUGAGAUCUCCUAAUGCGAAAACGUUCUCUUCGGAGAAUGCAGAAAUGCAAGCAUACGCCGGGAAUUGAAACAUCUUAGUACCGGCAGGAAAAGAAAUCAUUUGAGAUGCCCCCAUUAGCAGCGAGCGAAAAGGGCUCAGGGCGAACCGAAUCUUCCGUCGAAAGAUGGAUAGAGAUGUGGUGAGAAUAAAUAGCUAAGUUAUUGAAGAAAAGUUUUCUGGAAAGAAAUACCUCAGAGGGUGAUAGUCCCGUAUCUGAAAAUAAUAUGUUGUUUCUCGAUAGAGUAGGGCUUCCUAGAUAGGAUGUCUGAAUACGCGAGGAUUAACUCGCAACCCUAAACAUCAAUCCAAGUCCGAUAGCAAACAGAGUACCGCGAGGGAAAGCUGAAAAGUACCCAUAAACGGGGGUCAAAAGACUUGAAAUCUAAUAGUUACAUCUGGUUACGGCAUUAAGGUGUUGUAACGUGCGUUUUGAAAAACGAACCAAGGAGUUUAUCUAAGUGGCAAGGUUAAAAUGAAGCCGAAGCGAAAGCGAGUCCGAAAGGGCGAUAGUCACUUGGAUAAGACCCGAAGCUAGACGAUCUAAUCGUGAGCAGGACGAAGUUUUCCGAAAGGGAAAUGGAGGUCCGAACCAGUGUUAUGUGCAUGUACUUGGAUGACUUGCGAUUAGGGGUGAAAAGCCAAUCUAGUUUAGCGAUGGCUGGUUCCUGUCGAAAUAUGCCUCCGUAUAGUCUUAUUUAGUUUGGAGACGAGGUAAAGUACGGAUAGAGUUUGCAGACCCGCAAGGGUACGGAACUCUUUCCAACUCAGAACUUGUUUUCUGCAAAAAAUAGGAAUGGGGGGCAGCGCGUAAGGUGCUGUUCCGAGACCCGAACAAGGGAGACUAAAGUUAAGGUCCCAAAAAGUAUGUUAAGUGUGACAAAGGGAGUCUGAAACCUAAGACACUAGGGAUGUAGGCUUAGAAGCAGCCACCAUUCAAAGAAAGCGUAACAGCUCACCUAUCGAGGUUUUAGGCCCCGAAAAUGGACGGGGCUAAACAUACUACCGAUACUUUGCACUCGCAAGAGUGUUCUGGUAGACAGGCGCGGAUUCUGCGCAGAAGUUCUUCCGAGAGGAAAGAUGGAGCGGAAUCCGACGAGAAUCUUGGUGUAAGUAAGAUCAAAUUAUUCUGAGAACGAAUAACGUCGAAAGAGCGCGGUUUCCUUGGCACUAUCGUUUAACCAAGGGUUAGUCGGCGCCUAAGUCACACCUUAGCUGGUUGUGGCGAAUGGAAAUCUGGUUAAUAUUCCAGAACUAAUUAAACUCGUUAUUACAUAAAUCGCUUUGGGAUAAGCAGAGGUCCGGAAGGACUAAUGCGCAAGAAGUCUGUGGAUCAUAAUGAUUAGAAGCAGAGAAUUGCGCGUGAAUCUGCUGACUCCGAGAGCCCUUGAAAACUUUAUGUCUAGAGUUUAGUUAGCCGUACCUAGAACCGACACUGGUGCUCUGGCUGAGAAGGCCAAGACUAUACUCGGUGAGACCUGUCCAGUGGUGGUGUUUCAAACUUCAGUUCAAUGGAGCUAAGACCCAUCAAACGGCGGGCCUAACUAUGAGGCUCUUAAGGUUAAGUAACGCUAGCUUUACAUUAUCGUCGGUAAAACGGUAAUGCUCCAAGCUUCACAGUUAAGAAUAAACAGAAAAUAAAAAACCAAAAUGGAGAAAAUCGAGCUAUUUGCUGGAAACUCCGAGAAUAUCUAAAUACUCGUCGAUAAAUUUAAUUUCAUCGUCAGUAAAAAUUUUAGAUUGCGGACAAUCAGCAGGAAAGACGAGGAAAGUUUAAAUAAAGAAUAUCUGUAUAAGUUUUAUGGUAAUGUUAUCAACAACCGUGAAUAACAUACACAGAUAUGGUCCUGAAUGUAUGACUAAUCGUAGUUCAUUAGUAGACGGAGCAAGCUUAGAUGCGCUUGCAGAUUAUGUAUCUAGAUAUGAAUCCGAACUUAGAGAAUUUGAAAAAUUAUCUCUAGGUAGGAAGAUAAUUUCAUAUAUUUCAGGAGAUAAUCCAAAAGUUGAUAUGGUAUAUUUCAGUCUUGCUAAAAGAAGACUUGAACGAGAAAGCCAUAAGUAAUUCUCGAAUCCUCAGAAAGCAUUUUGUCGAAGACAAAUGCGAAGCAAUUAAUUCGCGAAGAUAAAGUCCGAACUUCAUAGCGAUAUGAAGAAUUGAAUUCAAUUAGAAUUCAGAUUAACAAAAUGAGCGUAAUGCCUUGUCGUCUGAAUGGCGACGUGCAUGAAUGGUUUAAUGAGGUGGUCGCUGUCCCUAACCAGAACCUUCUGAACUCAUCUACUGGUGAACACGCCAGUAAUGCCUAUUGGGAAGCAGAGACCUUGUGAACCUUUACUGCAACUUGUUGUUGUAGCUUUAAGGGGAAUGCAUAGAGUAGGUAGGAGCGUCGAUGUUGCAUUUUAGGAUGCAACGGAGCAACCCUGUAACACUACCUAUUUCCCUUGAAGUUGCUCACUCGCUUUAGCGGGGACACCAGCAGGCGGGCAGUUUGGCUGGGGCGGCACCCUGCAGAAAAGAUAUCUGCAGGGCCCAAAGUUAAGCUCAUCCAGGUCGGAAAUCUGGAGUUGAGUGCAGAGGCAAAAGCUUAACUGACUGCGUUUCGCACAGCAAAG